GGGGUGUGUGGGUAGUUUGACAUAGGGGUGUGUGGUAGUGUGACUGACAUAGGGGUGUGUGGGUAGUUUGACAUAGGGGUGUGAGGGUAGUUUGACAUAGGGGUGUGUGGGUAGUUUGACUGACAUAGGGGUGUGUGGGUAGUUUGACAUAGGGGUGUGGGGUAGUUUGACAUAGGGGGGUGUGGGUAGUUUGACUGACAUAGGGGUGUGUGGGUAGUUUGACAUAGGGGUGUGAGGGUAGUUUGACUGACAUAGGGGUGUGUGGGUAGGUGACUGACAAAGGGGUGUGUGGGUAGUUUGACAUAGGGG
Molecule: long non-coding RNA, 309 nt
Organism: Oncorhynchus tshawytscha (Chinook salmon)
Lineage: Eukaryota; Metazoa; Chordata; Actinopteri; Salmoniformes; Salmonidae
Source: Ensembl